Molecule: long non-coding RNA, 214 nt
Filed under: Elaeis guineensis (African oil palm)
Lineage: Eukaryota; Viridiplantae; Streptophyta; Magnoliopsida; Arecales; Arecaceae
Description: long non-coding RNA (EGUI_LNC030902)
Source: RNAcentral
GUGGUGCACGUGUGGAGUCAAUUAGCUAUUAUUAGGAUUUGAUGUCUUGAGAUUUGAUCCACAUUGAACCCACAGCGAGGUCCGCGACGAAAAACGGAGUCCAACGAGAUCAAGAUGACCCCAAACGGAGUCCGGACGGAGAAGAUACGCGUGAUUGAAGUCGGCAUAGAACUCGAUGUGGUGGAGGAUCGCUAGUGGCCGGCGGAGCGGCGGC